RNAcentral lists this ribosomal RNA (472 nucleotides) under uncultured bacterium. RNAcentral describes it as "partial 16S ribosomal RNA". It matches the Rfam family "Bacterial small subunit ribosomal RNA", at positions 28 to 507 of the family's 1533-position model. The record is from RNAcentral.
GACGAACGCUGGCGGCGUGCUUAACACAUGCAAGUCGAACGCUGAAGCUUGGUGCUUGCACUGGGUGGAUGAGUGGCGAACGGGUGAGUAAUACGUGAGUAACCUGCCCUUGACUCUGGGAUAAGCCUGGGAAACUGGGUCUAAUACUGGAUACGACAUGCCACUGCAUGGUGGUGUGUGGAAAGGGUUUUACUGGUUUUGGAUGGGCUCACGGCCUAUCAGCUUGUUGGUGGGGUAAUGGCCUACCAAGGCGACGACGGGUAGCCGGCCUGAGAGGGUGACCGGCCACACUGGGACUGAGUCACGGCCCAGACUCCUACGGGAGGCAGCAGUGGGGAAUAUUGCACAAUGGGCGGAAGCCUGAUGCAGCGACGCCGCGUGAGGGAUGACGGCCUUCGGGUUGUAAACCUCUUUCAGCACGGAAGAAGCGAGAGUGACGGUACGUGCAGAAGAAGCGCCGGCUAACUACGUG